RNAcentral lists this ribosomal RNA (463 nucleotides) under uncultured bacterium. RNAcentral describes it as "partial 16S ribosomal RNA". It matches the Rfam family "Bacterial small subunit ribosomal RNA", at positions 28 to 507 of the family's 1533-position model. The record is from RNAcentral.
GACGAACGCUGGCGGCGUGCUUAACACAUGCAAGUCGAACGGAAAGGCCUUUUCGGAGGUACUCGAGUGGCGAACGGGUGAGUAACACGUGGGUGAUCUGCCCUGCACUCUGGGAUAAGCCUGGGAAACUGGGUCUAAUACCGGAUAGGACCGCACUUUAGUGUGUGUGGUGGAAAGUUUUUUCGGUGUAGGAUGAGCCCGCGGCCUAUCAGCUUGUUGGUGGGGUAAUGGCCUACCAAGGCGGCGACGGGUAGCCGGACUGAGAGGUUGGUCGGCCACAUUGGGACUGUGAUACGGCCCAGACUCCUACGGGAGGCAGCAGUGGGGAAUAUUGCACAAUGGGCGCAAGCCUGAUGCAGCGACGCCGCGUGGGGGAUGACGGCCUUCGGGUUGUAAACUCCUUUCGCCAGGGACGAAGCGUUUUGUGACGGUACCUGGAGAAGAAGCACCGGCUAACUACGUG